RNAcentral lists this transfer RNA (72 nucleotides) under Apaloderma vittatum (bar-tailed trogon). It matches the Rfam family "tRNA". From Rfam's summary of the family: Transfer RNA (tRNA) molecules are approximately 80 nucleotides in length. Lineage: Eukaryota; Metazoa; Chordata; Aves; Trogoniformes; Trogonidae. The record is from Rfam by way of RNAcentral.
GGCCGGUUAGCUCAGUCAGUUGAGCUUGGUGCUGAUAACACCAAGAUUGCGAGUUCAAUUCCCAUUCGGUCC